This 2516-nucleotide long non-coding RNA is filed under the name Homo sapiens (human). RNAcentral's name for it is "non-protein coding lnc-FOXQ1-9:1". The record is from RNAcentral. Lineage: Eukaryota; Metazoa; Chordata; Mammalia; Primates; Hominidae.
CUACAUAUUUUAGAGAAAAAGAGGAAUUCCUCAAAGUCUCCACCCCGCCUACUUUUAAGACUGACCCCAGAAGGCUCCAUGACAGCGUGAUUCUCAGGAUGGUUGAAAUUGAAGCCCUUGGGCUCAGUUUUUCUCUUUGUAUGUCUGAGGGGAAAGGACAGAAAUUCUAGACCCCACGUGUAUCUGAUAAGCACCCACUCUGUCCCUGUCACUGUUCCAGACACCUGGGAGAUGCUGUAGCAAACAGAGAUGGAGUCCCUGUGCUGUGGACCUGACACUCUAGUGAGGACGGCCUCUAGGUAGCGAGGUCACACAGAAAGUUUGGCAUGCAAACCUAGAACUCGGGGGAGAAAGAGCAACGUGAGAAUCAGCAGAGGAGGGCAUUUAAGCCAUAGGAUGUAAAGUAUCCAGGGAGAAGAGGAAGGUAAAGCAGAGACCAGGGCCUAGGCCUGUGUCCUGGAGCUCGAGCGUCGAAAGAUUAGGAAAAGGAAGGGGAACCAGGAAAAGAGACUGACAGGAAGCUACCCCUGAGCAAAAAUAAAAUUAAAUUAAAAUUAAAGCAAAUGACAACAACAACAAACCAAGUUCGGAUGCCCCGGAAGCCAAGCAAGAAAGAGUGAGUGACCUGUACUAACGAUGUCUAUUACCAUCCAGCCAGGUGUAGGAUGGGAACUAGGGAAUGACAUUUCAUCCGACCGUGUGAAACUCACUGGUGAAUACGGUAAGAACGGAGGAAGUAGAAACUGUCUAGAGAACUGUUUUUUAUUUUAAUUGAGAAAAUGGUUAGAUUUUUUUUUUUAGAUUACCCGUUUAAUUUUUUAUUAUUAUUAUUAUACUUUAAGUUUUAGGGUACAUGUGCACAACGUGCAGGUUAGUUACAUGUGUAGACAUGUGCCAUGUUGGUGUUCUGCACCCAGUAACUCGUCAUUUAACCUUAGGUAUACCUCCUAAUGCUAUCCCUCCCCCCUCCACCCACCCCACAACAGGCCCCGGUGUGUGACGUUCCCCUAACUGUUUUAAAAAGCCUUGCUGUGAAAAGGAAGACGGAAAUAAAGCAGUAACUGGCAUGGAAGGUCGCCCAAGGGGGGGACUUUUCCUAAGUAGGAGAGAGUCCGAAUGUUCGUGUGCUGUUUGAAAAGAUCCAAAACAGGAGGUGAAACCAAUGCUGCGGCAAGAGGGCAGACCUCGUCAGCGAGGGUGGCCCUUGCUCUGGAGGGGAGAGUGGACGACCUGGCACACAGCUGGAGGGAGCCUCCUGCCAGAGGAGCAGAGGCGGCUCACCCAACAAGGAGGGGCAAGGAGGGGCUUCAGUACUCGAAGCAGAUGCAGGGAUGAGCUGGCUCUGUGUCCACGGCUUCUGUUCUCUCAGCCAAAUAAGAAACCAGAUCAUCAGCUGGGAGUGGGGAUAAGGAGGGACUCUGUCAUUGAAAGGGGGGAACGGCAUGAGGCGGAGGUCCCAGAAGUGCCCAGUUGAAAGCCUUGGGUGUAACUUGGAGCAGAGCUGUCUCCCAGGCAGAUGAGGGGCCAGGGCAGGGAAAGCUUGGAGCUAAGCUGAGCUCUGGGUUUUUCCAGGAGCCUUGAGGGUGUGUGCAAAGGCAUGCUGAGAGUGCGGCGCCUUGCACUCUACGCCGUGUGGGUGUGGGGGUGUCAGUGUGCAGGAGUCAGGAGGAGCAGGGGCAGUAAGUAGGCUGCCGGGGUGGGCCAUGGGGGCCAGGAAUGGACAAUGAUGAAAUCACUGGUGAUGGCAAGUCUAAGGAGUCACCGUGCAAAGCAAGGACUGGCAGGAGGUGGGUGGAAACGCCUGUAAGUGCAGAAUCGUCCGUGUGUGGAGAGGUCUUGCAGUUGCCAGGAAUGAUGCCAGGAGAAGAGGUGAAGAAGCUGACCAUGGGAAUCUACGGUGACUGCAAGGGGAGCCAGGCCUUCGGUAGGAAACUGUAGGGAACGGUAACAUUCACUACAGGAGAAUGGUAUAGUCUGAGGGGUGCAAUUCAAAGGAGAUGCCAUGGGCCUUCCAGGUUACAAGCAGAGUAAAAUUAAAUAAUAAUGGAGCCAGUGGUUUUAGAGGGAAGGGAUGUUUCCAACUUGUAUACCCCAAGGUUUCUCAAGCUCUGCGCUAUAAUUUAAGCCCUAGAAACAUACAGGCCGCACGCAGAUCUUUCCAAACAGCAUGCACCUGGGCCGCAGGCUGGCCGCACCAUUUCCUUGAAGUCACCAGAACGGCAACAUCUAGAACAAAUAACCUCCUCUGGGAAGGUUCAUUUCUCCACGGUUAACCAUUGAUGGGCUGGCGUGAUCCCUUUAAACAUGGGUCGCCAGAACUCAAAGCCCACAAUCAAGGGUUUAUCUAGGAGAUAGUAUUCCACAGCACCUGCUCAAAAAGGACAGAUUGCCUGGAGCGCUACAGGCUAGCAAGGUAAACUUACGAGUGGGUGGCCUCCUUCAACAAAGAAACUGCACUUCUGCCCUUCUUAAUGCCUGGAGUUAAUUCCAUCCUCAGAUUUCAUUUGAACUCACAA